UCCGACUGACGAACAAGUUUAAUCUCCACCACUGCCACAAUAUCCUUACAAGCUAUUAUGCCACGAAUUCGCCAUCAUCUAGCAACAUCCAUUUUGGCACCUUUCUCUCCUCUUUCCUACUCUUUACUCCCUAUUUUUCCUUUUCACCUAAUCCUAGUAUCGGGUAAAUGAGCAAAAUAUAAGUCAGCUUCACUAAUCUCCAAGGAUGUUUGAAUCAAUAUGAUAGACCUAUUAGCACA
Molecule: long non-coding RNA, 239 nt
Filed under: Elaeis guineensis (African oil palm)
Lineage: Eukaryota; Viridiplantae; Streptophyta; Magnoliopsida; Arecales; Arecaceae
Description: long non-coding RNA (EGUI_LNC012263)
Source: RNAcentral